GUUUCUCAGUGACAGUAACCAGUCAAUCAGGAUUCACCGAUUCAGUCAGUCAGUCACUGUUUUAGUAGACUUUAAGUUUUCAGAAUUCAGACUCUGCUGUUCGACAGUUCAUGUCUACUGUGUAUGUGAAAAGUUGGAAAUCGCAAGGAGUUUUACGUGCAAGUGUUGUGCCACAACUCAUUAAUACCAUAGUAGUCCCAUUCUGCCCCAUAAUAUUCGUUCUCUGAGUAUAUGCAAGGCUAUAGAAGUUGAACAACACUCGUUCCAUUUGGAAGAAAUUCUGACUGGAAUAAUAUUAUUCCUAUCAUUCCUAUACUAUCUACAGAAGCUAGUUAAACUCAAACAAGAAAGCGAGCAAGACUCCAGUUGCCUUCUGAACAAAUAACUCUGGGAUCUGGAUGGAAUACUAUUGUCUCCUAAGUAAAGCCCUUAUAUUCAUCAGUUUAACUAAACUAUAGGUGUCAUUAUGGAUGAUGAUGAGUUUCAGUGGCCUGAUGAAGCUCCAGAGGUAAUGAUUGCUGCUGAUGAAGUUGAGACUGGGGCCUCUAAUGAUGAGAAUUUCGUCACUGACUCUAAUGGCGAAAAGGCUGAUUCCAACCAUCAACAGCCACCACUAGCAGCAACGGCCAAGAACACGGCAAUUAAACAAAAAUCAUGGGUAUGGGACUUUUUUACGAUCGAAAUCGAUCAAAAAGAUAAGAAGGAGAAAGCUAGGUGCUUACUCUGCAAAACGAAACCAAAAUUUUUAGUGAUGUCAGCCACCACAAGUCUAUCCUACCAUCUCACCCACGCUCACAAAAAAACGUGUCCCGAAGAUCCGUCCACUUCUUCCUCGCCAAAUGUAGCACCAAACACCAUGGCUAAAUUCACGACGACUCUGUCCAAAGAAAAGAUUGCCUUAAUAACAAGAGCAAUUACUAAUUUCAUGGCUUGGGACUUGUAUCCCAUGAAUUGAGCCAUGGGUCGAGGAUUCAGAUCCCUGAUGAAGCUUCUUGAGCCUCGUUACACCAUUCCCCAUCGUACAACGUUUAUAAGGACGCACAUUCCCGUCGCAUAUCAAGAAAUGCGAGCCCAAGUCGCGGCUAAGUUGAAAAAUGCCAUCAGGGUCUGUCUUACAACGGAUAUGUGGACGGAUGAUUACAGACAUUGCUCCUAUAUGGCAGUAACGGCCCAUUUUGUUAGCGAUGAGUGGAUUUUUGAAUCUUUUUGUCUGUCCACUAAACCGAAAAGCAAACGGCUGCCAACCUUGCUGAAGCUUUAUCAAGCGUAGCUACAGUGUGGGACCUUAAGUUCAACAAAUUUGUUGUUGUAACUGAUGGGGGAGCCAAUAUUAAAAAAGCCGUCAAUGAUUUGGGUUGGAUACAGAUACCUUGCUUUGCUCAUUUGCUUAAUUUAUGCAUCGCGAAAUACGGGUUUUUAAAUGUUACGGUCCUAAAUCAUGUAAUUAAAAAGUCAAGUUCCAUCGUUCACUUUUUCCAUUUCCAUGGUCCUGCAAUCAUUGCAAAACAAAAAGAGCUCGCAAGAUUCUAUGAUUCAAUGGUAGAAUCAGAAGACCAUGACUAUUCCGAGCCAAUUUCAAGUGAUGAAAUAUCGCAGAAUUCAUUGAAAAAGGAACAGGCUACACGUUGGAAUUCAACUUUGACUAGCAUUGAAUCUGUCUUAGAAAACCGGGUAGUCAUUAGAGAACUUCUGUCAUCUGAACAAUUUGAUUCCCCUCACCUGAUACUGACAAACGAUGAAAUGUCUUUGCUAAAGAAACUUGCUGAAUUCUUAAAGCCUUUCCGUUGC
This 1788-nucleotide long non-coding RNA is filed under the name Daphnia magna. RNAcentral's name for it is "uncharacterized LOC123472326". The record is from RNAcentral. Lineage: Eukaryota; Metazoa; Arthropoda; Branchiopoda; Diplostraca; Daphniidae.